CAAAUGUGACGGAGUGUGUUUGUUGUCCUCUUCAAGGCGGAAAAAGACUGAACAGAUAAAUCAAGAGUGUUCAUAGUGAAGUGAACAUGAUGUCGCUCUCUGACCCCCCGCUGCAUCCAUGAUGACGACGCUCGUUCUGUCCUUUCACAGCGCGACCAAUCACAGCAGAGACACCGCGGGGAGCCUCUGUGAGCCAGGUGCAUUAUGGGAGGUGAGGUGAAGGACAGCAGUCACCUGAGGACAUUAAACCUGCUUCCAUCCACCUUUUUAUUCAUUUAUCUCUUUAUUUAUACAAGUAAUUCAACUGUAUUUCAGGCUUUUCCAUGUGGUGAUUAAUAAAUCUAUUGAUUGACUAUU
Thunnus maccoyii (southern bluefin tuna) is the source of this 357-nucleotide long non-coding RNA. RefSeq lists it as uncharacterized. Lineage: Eukaryota; Metazoa; Chordata; Actinopteri; Scombriformes; Scombridae. The transcript is spliced from 2 exons. The record is from RefSeq and is a predicted model, not a curated record.